CAUUGCUUUCCCCUCUCCUACUGUGAAAGACAUUUGCAGUUGAUAUAUUAUCGAUUAUAUAUUUUAAAAGCAACCUGAGGAUUGAUUAUAAAAAACGUUUGACGUUUUGUGGACAUUAAUGGAAACUAUUUGGAAUUUUCGUCUGCGUUGUCGUGACCGCUCUUUCCUGUUGAUUUCUGAACAUAACGCGACAAACAAACGGAGGUAUUUUGGAUCUAAAAAUUAUCUUUAUGGAGCAAAAGGAACAUUUGUUGUGUAACUGGGAGUCUCGUGAGUGAAAACAUCCGAAGAUCAUUAAAGAUGUUUUUUCAACCACUGGAGUUCAACGUGAGCCUGUUUUCAGAUGUCCUGUUAGAUGGACGGGAACUGGGUCUCAAGGAGAUCUACACAGAGCUGGCCAUCUUUCUUCUGUUGGUAUACAUCAUGUUCGUCAUCGGCAACAACAUGAUCGUCACUCUGGUGAUCAUCACUCCAAACUUCAGUCGCUUCUUGCAGAUGCAUACCUAUUUGACAUUCCAAACUACAGAGGGAUUUAUCCUAUGUGCUGUGACCUACGACUGCUAUGUUGCUAUCUGCAAUCGUUUACGCCACAACAGCAUCAUGACAAUCAAGGUGCAUGUUCCUGGCCUCAACAACAUGGGCUUCCAGCAUUGACUGUCAUUCUUGCAUCAAAACUACCUUUCAGUAGUCAUCAGAUAAUGUAUUGGUUUUGUGAUUAUCCUCCGACUGUUACAUUGUCAAGUUGGAAACAAUAUUUUUGAUAGAUUAGGUCCUCGCAUGUGCUUUAUUUGUGAUGUAUGUUCCAUUCACUGUCAUAAUUUGGUCAUAUUGUAAAAUCAUCAAACAAUUUGCAAAAUUGCCACAUCUGAAGGGCAGGAAAAAAGAUUUCUCUACCUGCUCCUCUCAUCUCAUUGCUGUCAUUACCUUCUACAUUGAUUAUUCAUGUGUCUACAUCUGUGCUAAAUCAUAUCAUAUUCAUCUCAAUGUCAUCAUCUUGAUGUCUAUUGUCAACUAUGUUUUAACUCCUCUUGUGAAUCCACUUGUUUACAGUUUCAGGAACAAAGGUUUCUGUCCUGAAACUCCU
Long non-coding RNA from Oncorhynchus tshawytscha (Chinook salmon), 1084 nucleotides. NCBI's taxonomy places the organism in Eukaryota, Metazoa, Chordata, Actinopteri, Salmoniformes, Salmonidae. The record is from Ensembl.